UACGGAAGGCAGCAGUGGGGAAUAUUGCACAAUGGGCGCAAGCCUGAUGCAGCCAUGCCGCGUGUAUGAAGAAGGCCUUCGGGUUGUAAAGUACUUUCAGACGUGAGGAAGGUGUUAAGGUUAAUAACCUUAGCAAUUGACGUUAGCGACAGAAGAAGCACCGGCUAACUCCGUGCCAGCAGCCGCGGUAAUACGGAGGGUGCGAGCGUUAAUCGGAAUUACUGGGCGUAAAGGGCACGCAGGCGGUUAAUUAAGUUGGAUGUGAAAUCCCCGGGCUUAACCUGGGAAUGGCAUUCAAGACUGGUUAGCUAGAGUCUUGUAGAGGGGGUUAGAAUUCCAUGUGUAGCGGUGAAAUGCGUAGAGAUGUGGAGGAAUACCGGUGGCGAAGGCGGCCCCUGGACAAGACUGACGCUCAUGUGCGAAAGCGUGGGGAGCAAACAGGGAUUAGAUACC
Molecule: ribosomal RNA, 453 nt
Filed under: uncultured bacterium
Lineage: Bacteria
Description: bacterial SSU rRNA
Rfam family: Bacterial small subunit ribosomal RNA
Source: RNAcentral